AUUGACAUUACUUUAUGAUGUUAGGUUUUUGUCAAGGUUAGGAUGCUCAUGUUGGAUAGAACUCCCUGUUCAAGUCAUUCAAAGCUUUAAAGCUCUAUCAAUGUCAAUAUGUUCCAGCUGUAAAACAAGGUAGUCACAUCAAGUGAGAAGUUUGAUAGGCUGGCUUCUGGGAAAAUACAUCUGCUGCUUCAAAUGAUAUAAAGGUAUUAAAUGCCUUAUUUAUCUCAAUAUAUUUGUUGUUUUUUUGUCUACUCUUGGGUCUUCUGUCCAGCUAUUUUUAGAGCAAUUUUGUUGCAUUUUAUGUGUAUAUACUGGGUUUAAUGCUUAGAGGUGGAUCAUGUUCUUAGUUGAUAAUGUUAGGCGAUUACAAGUGGUAGUCUGUACACCUUGUGGAUGUUAUAUGGUAUUGUGGCACUUGCAGGCUUGUUUUGUUUUGGAUAUAUCCCUGCUAGUGCAGUGUAAAUACCCCUCUUAACUAUUAAGUUUUUGUGAUUUUCUUAUAAGCUCUUAGUCAUAAUACUUUUUAUUCUUUUGAACUCCUAUAUUAUGCUCAAGUUAUAUCAUAGUGAUACUUGAUUCAAUGCAGAUUUUUGCCACGAGUGCUUUUCCUUGUCCAUAUCUACACAAUCCUUCGGAUACCUAUUUCAGGAUCAUAAACAGGGUUGAAAUGCUAAGGAAACUUUGAAUUUGGCUAAUGUUUAUUUGGUAGAUUAUCUUUCUAAUUAAGAAACUGCAGUGGAAAACUUGAAAAUAUUUGAGGAUUAUCGUCUAGCUUUAGGUGCUUCCUAUGUUUGUAGCAAUCAGAACAUAGCUAUCUUCAGUUUCUUCUUUCCCCUUUUAAUUCUUUGCUAUUUAAUAUACAGGUUAAACCGAAAG
RNAcentral lists this long non-coding RNA (876 nucleotides) under Trifolium pratense (red clover). RNAcentral describes it as "long non-coding RNA (TPRA_LNC008496)". The record is from RNAcentral. Lineage: Eukaryota; Viridiplantae; Streptophyta; Magnoliopsida; Fabales; Fabaceae.